ACGCACGCUGGCGGCAGGCCUCACACCUGCAAGUCGAGCGCCCUUUCGGGGGAGCGGCGGCCGGGUGAGUAACGCGUGGGAAUAUGCCCUUCUCUACGGAAUAGCCUCGGGAAACUGAGAGCAAUACCGUAUACGCCCUUUGGGGGAAAGAUUUAUCGGGGAAGGAUUAGCCCGCGUUGGAUUAGGUAGUUGGUGGGGUAAUGGCCUACCAAGCCGACGAUCCAUAGCUGGUUUGAGAGGAUGAUCAGCCACACUGGGACUGAGACACGGCCCAGACUCCUACGGGAGGCAGCAGUGGGGAAUCUUAGACAAUGGGGGCAACCCUGAUCUAGCCAUGCCGCGUGAGUGAUGAAGGCCUUAGGGUUGUAAAGCUCUUUCAGCUGGGAAGAUAAUGACGGUACCAGCAGAAGAAGCCCCGGCUAACUCCGUG
RNAcentral lists this ribosomal RNA (430 nucleotides) under uncultured bacterium. RNAcentral's name for it is "partial 16S ribosomal RNA". It matches the Rfam family "Bacterial small subunit ribosomal RNA", at positions 29 to 507 of the family's 1533-position model. The record is from RNAcentral.